AACGAACGCUGGCGGCACGCCUAACACAUGCAAGUCGAACGAACAAUAGAUUUCGGUCUAUUCGUUAGUGGCAAACGGGUGAGUAACACGUGGGAAUCUGCCCAUCAGUGGGGAAUAACUUUGGGAAACUAAAGCUAAUACCGCAUACGUCCUUAGGGAGAAAGACUUCGGUCGCUGAAGGAGGAGCCCCGCGUUUAGAUUAGGUUGUUGGUGGGGUAAUGGCCUACCAAGCCUAUGAUCUAUAGCUGGUCUUAGAGGAUGAUCAGCCACACUGGGACUGAGACACGGCCCAGACUCCUACGGGAGGCAGCAGUGAGGAAUAUUGCGCAAUGGAGGCAACUCUGACGCAGCCAUGCCGCGUGCAGGAAGAAGGCGCUACGCGUUGUAAACUGCUUUUAACCGGGAGAAACCCUCCGACGUGUCGGAGGUUGACGGUACCGGAGGAAUAAGCACCGGCUAACUUCGUG
RNAcentral lists this ribosomal RNA (467 nucleotides) under uncultured bacterium. RNAcentral's name for it is "bacterial SSU rRNA". It matches the Rfam family "Bacterial small subunit ribosomal RNA", at positions 29 to 507 of the family's 1533-position model. The record is from RNAcentral.